Molecule: transfer RNA, 72 nt
Filed under: Ovis aries (sheep)
Lineage: Eukaryota; Metazoa; Chordata; Mammalia; Artiodactyla; Bovidae
Rfam family: tRNA
About the family: Transfer RNA (tRNA) molecules are approximately 80 nucleotides in length. Their secondary structure includes four short double-helical elements and three loops (D, anti-codon, and T loops).
Source: Rfam by way of RNAcentral
UCCCUGGUGGUUCAGUGGUUAAGAAUUUUCCUUGCAAUGUAAGGGACCCAGGUUCGAUCCCUGGUCAGGAAC